CUUGCUGGUGGAUUAGUGGCGAACGGGUGAGUAACACGUGAGUAACCUGCCCUUGACUCUGGGAUAAGCCUGGGAAACUGGGUCUAAUACCGGAUAUGACCGACUAUCGCAUGGUGGUUGGUGGAAAGCUUUUGUGGUUUUGGAUGGACUCGCGGCCUAUCAGCUUGUUGGUGGGGUAAUGGCCUACCAAGGCGACGACGGGUAGCCGGCCUGAGAGGGUGACCGGCCACACUGGGACUGAGACACGGCCCAGACUCCUACGGGAGGCAGCAGUGGGGAAUAUUGCACAAUGGGCGCAAGCCUGAUGCAGCGACGCCGCGUGAGGGAUGACGGCCUUCGGGUUGUAAACCUCUUUCAGUAGGGAAGAAGCGUAAGUGACGGUACCUGCAGAAGAAGCGCCGGCUAACUACGUGCCAGCAGCCGCGGUAAUACGUAGGGCGCAAGCGUUAUCCGGAAUUAUUGGGCGUAAAGAGCUCGUAGGCGGUUUGUCGCGUCUGCCGUGAAAGUCCGGGGCUCAACUCCGGAUCUGCGGUGGGUACGGGCAGACUAGAGUGAUGUAGGGGAGACUGGAAUUCCUGGUGUAGCGGUGAAAUGCGCAGAUAUCAGGAGGAACACCGAUGGCGAAGGCAGGUCUCUGGGCAUUAACUGACGCUGAGGAGCGAAAGCAUGGGGAGCGAACAGGAUUAGAUACCCUGGUAGUCCAUGCCGUAAACGUUGGGCACUAGGUGUGGGGGACAUUCCACGUUUUCCGCGCCGUAGCUAACGCAUUAAGUGCCCCGCCUGGGGAGUACGGCCGCAAGGCUAAAACUCAAAGGAAUUGACGGGGGCCCGCACAAGCGGCGGAGCAUGCGGAUUAAUUCGAUGCAACGCGAAGAACCUUACCAAGGCUUGACAUGAACCGGUAAUACCUGGAAACAGGUGCCCCGCUUGCGGUCGGUUUACAGGUGGUGCAUGGUUGUCGUCAGCUCGUGUCGUGAGAUGUUGGGUUAAGUCCCGCAACGAGCGCAACCCUCGUUCUAUGUUGCCAGCACGUGAUGGUGGGGACUCAUAGGAGACUGCCGGGGUCAACUCGGAGGAAGGUGGGGACGACGUCAAAUCAUCAUGCCCCUUAUGUCUUGGGCUUCACGCAUGCUACAAUGGCCGGUACAAAGGGUUGCGAUACUGUGAGGUGGAGCUAAUCCCAAAAAGCCGGUCUCAGUUCGGAUUGGGGUCUGCAACUCGACCCCAUGAAGUCGGAGUCGCUAGUAAUCGCAGAUCAGCAACGCUGCGGUGAAUACGUUCCCGGGCCUUGUACACACCGCCCGUCAAGUCACGAAAGUUGGUAACACCC
This 1330-nucleotide ribosomal RNA is filed under the name Pseudarthrobacter defluvii. RNAcentral describes it as "bacterial SSU rRNA". It matches the Rfam family "Bacterial small subunit ribosomal RNA", at positions 80 to 1422 of the family's 1533-position model. The record is from RNAcentral. Lineage: Bacteria; Bacillati; Actinomycetota; Actinomycetes; Micrococcales; Micrococcaceae.